This 233-nucleotide long non-coding RNA is filed under the name Hordeum vulgare. Its description in RNAcentral is "long non-coding RNA (HVUL_LNC000385)". Lineage: Eukaryota; Viridiplantae; Streptophyta; Magnoliopsida; Poales; Poaceae. The record is from RNAcentral.
ACACACGGCCAUGACGACGAAGGUCCUACCAGAGCAAUGCACGAUUGCUGUUGCAGAGGAGCUUGCGACCUUUCUGAGGACGGAAGCUAUAGAUGACAAAUGACGAUUUAGUGUAGCUAGGGGCCAUUACUGAUGUUCGUCCAUGUAAUCAAAUAGACGGGCUCUAGUCCCGAUAAUUCAGAUCUCCAUAUAAUUCUAUAUAUAUGUUCGCUUGUAAGAUAAGUUAACCUUAU